Molecule: ribosomal RNA, 557 nt
Filed under: uncultured bacterium
Lineage: Bacteria
Description: bacterial SSU rRNA
Rfam family: Bacterial small subunit ribosomal RNA
Source: RNAcentral
ACGGGUGAGUAACGCGUGGGAACGUGCCCUUCGGUUCGGAAGAACUCAGGGAAACUUGAGCUAAUACCGGAUACGCCCUUUUGGGGAAAGGUUUACUGCCGAAGGAUCGGCCCGCGUCUGAUUAGCUAGUUGGUGAGGUUACGGCUCACCAAGGCGACGAUCAGUAGCUGGUCUGAGAGGAUGAUCAGCCACACUGGGACUGAGACACGGCCCAGACUCCUACGGGAGGCAGCAGUGGGGAAUAUUGGACAAUGGGGGCAACCCUGAUCCAGCCAUGCCGCGUGAGUGAUGACGGCCUUAGGGUUGUAAAGCUCUUUUCUCCGGGACGAUAAUGACGGUACCGGAGGAAUAAGCCCCAGCUAACUUCGUGCCAGCAGCCGCGGUAAUACGAAGGGGGCUAGCGUUGCUCGGAAUCACUGGGCGUAAAGGGCGCGUAGGCGGCUGAUUUAGUCGAGGGUGAAAGCCCGUGGCUCAACCACGGAAUGGCCUUCGAUACUGGUUGGCUUGAGACCGGAAGAGGACAGCGGAACUGCGAGUGUAGAGGUGAAAUUCGUAGA